RNAcentral lists this ribosomal RNA (271 nucleotides) under uncultured bacterium. Its description in RNAcentral is "partial 16S ribosomal RNA". It matches the Rfam family "Bacterial small subunit ribosomal RNA", at positions 524 to 794 of the family's 1533-position model. The record is from RNAcentral.
UACGAAUCGUCCUAACGUUGUUCGGAUUCACUGGGUUUAAAGGGUGCGUAGGCGGUGCGUUAAGUCGGUGGUGAAAUACUUUGGCUCAACCAGAGAAUUGCCGCUGAAACUGCCGUGCUCGAGGGAGAUAGAGGUGAGCGGAACUUAGGGUGGAGCGGUGAAAUGCGUUGAUAUCCUAAGGAACACCGGUGGCGAAAGCGGCUCACUGGAUCUCUUCUGACGCUGAGGCACGAAAGCUAGGGUAGCGAACGGGAUUAGAAACCCGGGUAGU